This 474-nucleotide ribosomal RNA is filed under the name uncultured organism. RNAcentral's name for it is "partial 16S ribosomal RNA". It matches the Rfam family "Bacterial small subunit ribosomal RNA", at positions 334 to 799 of the family's 1533-position model. The record is from RNAcentral.
CACUCCUGCGGGAGGCAGCAGUGGGGAAUAUUGCACAAUGGGCGCAAGCCUGAUGCAGCCAUGCCGCGUGUAUGAAGAAGGCCUUCGGGUUGUAAAGUACUUUCAGCGGGGAGGAAGGCGAUAAGGUUAAUAACCUUGUCGAUUGACGUUACCCGCAGAAGAAGCACCGGCUAACUCCGUGCCAGCAGCCGCGGUAAUACGGAGGGUGCAAGCGUUAAUCGGAAUUACUGGGCGUAAAGCGCACGCAGGCGGUCUGUCAAGUCGGAUGUGAAAUCCCCGGGCUCAACCUGGGAACUGCAUUCGAAACUGGCAGGCUAGAGUCUUGUAGAGGGGGGUAGAAUUCCAGGUGUAGCGGUGAAAUGCGUAGAGAUCUGGAGGAAUACCGGUGGCGAAGGCGGCCCCCUGGACAAAGACUGACGCUCAGGUGCGAAAGCGUGGGGAGCAAACAGGAUUAGAUACCCUUGUAGUCCCAUG